RNAcentral lists this ribosomal RNA (987 nucleotides) under uncultured bacterium. RNAcentral describes it as "bacterial SSU rRNA". It matches the Rfam family "Bacterial small subunit ribosomal RNA", at positions 505 to 1501 of the family's 1533-position model. The record is from RNAcentral.
GUGCCAGCCGCCGCGGUAACACGUAGGAGGCAAACGUUAUCCGGAUUUACUGGGCGUAAAGCGCGUGUAGGUGGUUCUGUAAGUAGGGCGUGAAAGCUCCUGGCCCAACUGGGAGAGGCCGUUCUAAACUGCAGAGCUAGAGGAUGGUAGAGGGGGGUGGAAUUCCGGGUGUAGCGGUGGAAUGCGCAGAUAUCCGGAGGAACACCAGUGGCGAAAGCGGCCUCCUGGACCAUUCCUGACACUCAGACGCGAAAGCUAGGGUAGCAAACGGGAUUAGAGACCCCGGUAGUCCUAGCCCUAAACGAUGUAGACUUGGCGUCGGUGGCUUAAUCGUCAUCGGUGUCGUAGCUAACGCGAUAAGUCUACCGCCUGGGGACUACGGCCGCAAGGUUAAAACUCAUAGGAAUUGACGGGUCCCCGCACAAGCAGCGGAGCGUGUGGUUUAAUUCGUUGCUACACGAAGAACCUUACCUGGGUUUGACAUAGCAGCGGUAGGAAUACGAAAGUGGACCGACCCUUCGGGGAGCUGUUACAGGUGUUGCAUGGCUGUCGUCAGCUCGUGUCGUGAGAUGUCCGGUUAAGUCCGCUAACGAGCGCAACCCUUGCCGUGUGUUACAAGUGUCACACGGGACCGCCGGUAUUAAGUCGGAGGAAGGUGAGGAUGACGUCAAGUCAGCAUGACCUUUAUAUCCAGGGCUACACACACGCUACAAUGGUCAGUACAAUAGGUUGCCAAGCCGCGAGGCGGAGCCAAUCCUAAAAAGCUGGCCUCAGUUCAGAUUGCAGGCUGCAACUCGCCUGCAUGAAGUUGGAGUUGCUAGUAACCGCAGGUCAGCUAUACUGCGGUGAAUACGUUCCCGGGGAUUGUACACACCGCCCGUCAAGUCAUGGGAGCUGGCAACACCUGAAGCCGGUAUCCUAACCCGCAAGGGAGGGAGCUGUCAAAGGUGGGGUCGGUGACUGGGACUAAGUCGUAACAAGGUAGCC